Long non-coding RNA from Oreochromis aureus, 1037 nucleotides. RefSeq lists it as uncharacterized. The record is from RefSeq and is a predicted model, not a curated record. The transcript has 5 exons. NCBI's taxonomy places the organism in Eukaryota, Metazoa, Chordata, Actinopteri, Cichliformes, Cichlidae.
GUGUGACAUCAGCGGUCAUGGAGAGUCUCCAUCCAGCUGGAUCACUGUCACAGACAAACACACCACCACACCUCCACCUACAUCCACACCUCCACCUGGUUCCUAUCUUCUUCCUGCCUUGGCAUGUGUUGGAUCAGUGUGUGUUGUGGUUCUACUGGUGUUACUGGUUCUGCUGCGGAGACGAUGUGUUCACAGGAAACCUGAAGCAGUGAGAACUGAAGACGUCAUUUAUGAACAAAUCAUCAUCAAAGAGAAGAAAAACAGAUCAAAGCCGAGAGAGUGUGAUCCAGCUGUAAUCUACUCAGCAGUGAGAACUGAAGAAAUCAGCUAUGGGCAAAUAGCUGUUACACCAAAGAGGAAAAGAGACUUUAAACCAGAGCCAGACGUCGUCUACUCUUCACUGAAGUAGUCCACCAGUCCAACCACUGACGUCCAGCUGCUGGUCUCUAACUGGUCCCCCAGCACCUCAGACCAGGGGACAUCCACAUGUUCAAAAUAUUUUUUAACAUAUUUUAUUUGUUUUCUCACUUAUUUAGACUCAUAUUAUUAAAAUAAAAAUGCUGUGUCAAGGCUUCUGACUGACACGCGCAAGCGAGAGCACAUAUCCCCUAUACUUGCCUCACUAUACUGGCUGCCAGUAAGUUUCUGAAUUGAUUUUAAGAUCUUGACGCUGGUUUUUAAAACAUUGCAUGGACUAGCUCCUAUUUAUCUUUCUGAUCUUCUAAACUGGGAUACUCUGGUGAGAUCUUUGAGGUCUGCGGACCAAAUGCUUCUAGCUGUCCCCAGGUCUAGGUUAAAACACAGAGGAGAUCGGGCUUUUGCUGUGACUGCUCCGAAACUGUGGAAUAAACUGCCUUUACAUAUCAGGACCUCUCCAACCCUGGAUACUUUUAAAACUUGUCUAAAGACCCAUUUUUACUCCUUGGCUUUUAAGUCGGUAUGAGUCUGUCAUUAUUUUAUUCUUAUUAUUUUCUUAUCCUUGAUUUUACUUUCCUUUUAAAUUUUAUCUGAUUAUUCUUUUGUAAAGUUGUUGUUUU